ACUUCACUUGGGAAGAGUGGACUUUGCUGGAUACUUCUCAGAAGAAUCUCUACAUAGAUGUUAUGCUGGAGACCUUCAGGAACCUCACUGAUAUAGGAUACUGUUGGGAAGAAAAUACUAUUGAAGAACAUUGCGCAAGUUCUAAAAGACAUGCAAGGUAAUUUUCCUUUUCAAGCUCAUAGAAAUAUCUCUCUGAAGAAAUUGAAAUGUGUCCUCAAUUUUGAAACAGAAACAACAGUGUAAUUAAGCACAGCUUAAAUUGCACUGACGAUUAUUACAUUCUCAAAAAACAAUAUAACUCAAUUUCAGAUAGAUGAACUGUAUUUGCAAAAUAGUAUUUAAGAAAGAAUACAAAAUAAUACCUUAAGAGAAA
Non-coding RNA from Cricetulus griseus (Chinese hamster), 373 nucleotides. NCBI's taxonomy places the organism in Eukaryota, Metazoa, Chordata, Mammalia, Rodentia, Cricetidae. The record is from RefSeq and is a predicted model, not a curated record.